RNAcentral lists this signal recognition particle RNA (287 nucleotides) under Saimiri boliviensis boliviensis (Bolivian squirrel monkey). RNAcentral's name for it is "Metazoan signal recognition particle RNA (ENSSBOG00000012601.1)". It matches the Rfam family "Metazoan signal recognition particle RNA". Rfam says of the family: The signal recognition particle (SRP) is a universally conserved ribonucleoprotein. It is involved in the co-translational targeting of proteins to membranes. The eukaryotic SRP consists of a 300-nucleotide 7S RNA and six proteins: SRPs 72, 68, 54, 19, 14, and 9. Lineage: Eukaryota; Metazoa; Chordata; Mammalia; Primates; Cebidae. The record is from RNAcentral.
GCACAACAAUUUUAGCCCCAGCUAUUUGGGAGGCUGAGGCUGGAGGAUCUCUUGAGUCCGGGAGUUCUGGGCUGUAGUGAGCUAUGCUGAUCGGGUGUCCGCACUAAGUUCAGCAUCAAUAUGGUGACCUCUGGGGAGCAGGGGACCAGCAGGUUGCCUAAGUAGAGGUGAAACAGCCCAGGUCGGAAACAGAGCAGGUCAAAACUCCCAUGUUGAUCAGUAGUGGGAUUGCACCUGUGAAUAGCCACUGCACUCCAGCCUGGGCAACACAGCAAGACCCCAUCUCU